AGCGUACACGGUGGAUGCCCUGGCAGUCAGAGGCGAUGAAGGACGUGCUAAUCUGCGAUAAGCGUCGGUAAGGUGAUAUGAACCGUUAUAACCGGCGAUUUCCGAAUGGGGAAACCCAGUGUGUUUCGACACACUAUCAUUAACUGAAUCCAUAGGUUAAUGAGGCGAACCGGGGGAACUGAAACAUCUAAGUACCCCGAGGAAAAGAAAUCAACCGAGAUUCCCCCAGUAGCGGCGAGCGAACGGGGAGCAGCCCAGAGCCUGAAUCAGUGUGUGUGUUAGUGGAAGCGUCUGGAAAGGCGCGCGAUACAGGGUGACAGCCCCGUACACAAAAAUGCACAUAUUGUGAGCUCGAUGAGUAGGGCGGGACACGUGGUAUCCUGUCUGAAUAUGGGGGGACCAUCCUCCAAGGCUAAAUACUCCUGACUGACCGAUAGUGAACCAGUACCGUGAGGGAAAGGCGAAAAGAACCCCGGCGAGGGGAGUGAAAAAGAACCUGAAACCGUGUACGUACAAGCAGUGGGAGCACGCUUAGGCGUGUGACUGCGUACCUUUUGUAUAAUGGGUCAGCGACUUAUAUUCUGUAGCAAGGUUAACCGAAUAGGGGAGCCGAAGGGAAACCGAGUCUUAACUGGGCGUUAAGUUGCAGGGUAUAGACCCGAAACCCGGUGAUCUAGCCAUGGGCAGGUUGAAGGUUGGGUAACACUAACUGGAGGACCGAACCGACUAAUGUUGAAAAAUUAGCGGAUGACUUGUGGCUGGGGGUGAAAGGCCAAUCAAACCGGGAGAUAGCUGGUUCUCCCCGAAAGCUAUUUAGGUAGCGCCUCGUGAAUUCAUCUCCGGGGGUAGAGCACUGUUUCGGCAAGGGGGUCAUCCCGACUUACCAACCCGAUGCAAACUGCGAAUACCGGAGAAUGUUAUCACGGGAGACACACGGCGGGUGCUAACGUCCGUCGUGAAGAGGGAAACAACCCAGACCGCCAGCUAAGGUCCCAAAGUCAUGGUUAAGUGGGAAACGAUGUGGGAAGGCCCAGACAGCCAGGAUGUUGGCUUAGAAGCAGCCAUCAUUUAAAGAAAGCGUAAUAGCUCACUGGUCGAGUCGGCCUGCGCGGAAGAUGUAACGGGGCUAAACCAUGCACCGAAGCUGCGGCAGCGACGCUGAUGCGUUGUUGGGUAGGGGAGCGUUCUGUAAGCCUGUGAAGGUGUGCUGUGAGGCAUGCUGGAGGUAUCAGAAGUGCGAAUGCUGACAUAAGUAACGAUAAAGCGGGUGAAAAGCCCGCUCGCCGGAAGACCAAGGGUUCCUGUCCAACGUUAAUCGGGGCAGGGUGAGUCGACCCCUAAGGCGAGGCCGAAAGGCGUAGUCGAUGGGAAACAGGUUAAUAUUCCUGUACUUGGUGUUACUGCGAAGGGGGGACGGAGAAGGCUAUGUUGGCCGGGCGACGGUUGUCCCGGUUUAAGCGUGUAGGCUGGUUUUCCAGGCAAAUCCGGAAAAUCAAGGCUGAGGCGUGAUGACGAGGCACUACGGUGCUGAAGCAACAAAUGCCCUGCUUCCAGGAAAAGCCUCUAAGCAUCAGGUAACAUCAAAUCGUACCCCAAACCGACACAGGUGGUCAGGUAGAGAAUACCAAGGCGCUUGAGAGAACUCGGGUGAAGGAACUAGGCAAAAUGGUGCCGUAACUUCGGGAGAAGGCACGCUGAUAUGUAGGUGAAGCGACUUGCUCGUGGAGCUGAAAUCAGUCGAAGAUACCAGCUGGCUGCAACUGUUUAUUAAAAACACAGCACUGUGCAAACACGAAAGUGGACGUAUACGGUGUGACGCCUGCCCGGUGCCGGAAGGUUAAUUGAUGGGGUCAGCGCAAGCGAAGCUCUUGAUCGAAGCCCCGGUAAACGGCGGCCGUAACUAUAACGGUCCUAAGGUAGCGAAAUUCCUUGUCGGGUAAGUUCCGACCUGCACGAAUGGCGUAAUGAUGGCCAGGCUGUCUCCACCCGAGACUCAGUGAAAUUGAACUCGCUGUGAAGAUGCAGUGUACCCGCGGCAAGACGGAAAGACCCCGUGAACCUUUACUAUAGCUUGACACUGAACAUUGAGCCUUGAUGUGUAGGAUAGGUGGGAGGCUUAGAAGUGUGGACGCCAGUCUGCAUGGAGCCGACCUUGAAAUACCACCCUUUAAUGUUUGAUGUUCUAACGUUGACCCGUAAUCCGGGUUGCGGACAGUGUCUGGUGGGUAGUUUGACUGGGGCGGUCUCCUCCUAAAGAGUAACGGAGGAGCACGAAGGUUGGCUAAUCCUGGUCGGACAUCAGGAGGUUAGUGCAAUGGCAUAAGCCAGCUUGACUGCGAGCGUGACGGCGCGAGCAGGUGCGAAAGCAGGUCAUAGUGAUCCGGUGGUUCUGAAUGGAAGGGCCAUCGCUCAACGGAUAAAAGGUACUCCGGGGAUAACAGGCUGAUACCGCCCAAGAGUUCAUAUCGACGGCGGUGUUUGGCACCUCGAUGUCGGCUCAUCACAUCCUGGGGCUGAAGUAGGUCCCAAGGGUAUGGCUGUUCGCCAUUUAAAGUGGUACGCGAGCUGGGUUUAGAACGUCGUGAGACAGUUCGGUCCCUAUCUGCCGUGGGCGCUGGAGAACUGAGGGGGGCUGCUCCUAGUACGAGAGGACCGGAGUGGACGCAUCACUGGUGUUCGGGUUGUCAUGCCAAUGGCACUGCCCGGUAGCUAAAUGCGGAAGAGAUAAGUGCUGAAAGCAUCUAAGCACGAAACUUGCCCCGAGAUGAGUUCU
Molecule: ribosomal RNA, 2773 nt
Filed under: Escherichia coli
Lineage: Bacteria; Pseudomonadati; Pseudomonadota; Gammaproteobacteria; Enterobacterales; Enterobacteriaceae
Description: bacterial LSU rRNA
Rfam family: Bacterial large subunit ribosomal RNA
Source: RNAcentral